UUUGCAAAUUUUACUGUUGUUGGUUUGUAUUGUAAUGCUACUUUGUCGAGUACAAUUGGCUAAUCACCACGAUAAAAUGUUUUAUAUGUCCAUUUCAGCGCUGAACCUGUGAACAUGCUAACUGCAUCAUAGAGUGGAGCUGGAUUUCUGAUACAGAUAUUGAUUACUGAUUACAAGGCAUCUUCUACUGUACCUGAUGUAGAAAAGACCCUUGAACUACCUGCAAUUCCUUGACUGAUACUUUUUGG
Molecule: non-coding RNA, 248 nt
Organism: Danio rerio (zebrafish)
Lineage: Eukaryota; Metazoa; Chordata; Actinopteri; Cypriniformes; Danionidae
Source: RefSeq, a predicted model, not a curated record